GGAACAAUGGGUCGAAUUUCUAAACCCGGAGACCACGCCCCCUCCUGUCCGCCACUGCAACCGUCCUUUCUGCCCACAAAAACAACAAUCUACCCCGAUUAAACCGAUCUAAACGGACCACAGCUCCGCCGUUGGCGCCUUGUCGACUCCGUGAAAUCGAGAAAAGUCAGUUUGCACCGAAUUACGCACAAAAUAUACCGAACAGAUCGAGCUUUCGGUUGACGUAGUGUCACACUUUGAUUGAUUGAUGUUCAUCUGGUCGAGUCGAGCGGCGACUCCGGAGCGUUUCUCCCGCCCACCGGCGCGACGAGGGGAUAGAGAAAGUCUUUAGGGGACAAAAUGUCGACGACACGGACAGUGUAGGUGGAUUAAAGAUGCUUCUAUAGCGGUACUGUCACCUCUCCAGCCGCCAUGUGAACACUAUCAAUCAGAUGAAAGGCAGAGAGAAUGUAAUUGUGGAGCACCGCCGCCAUGUCUCAUCACAGCCCUUCCCCUCCCCCUUCUUUCCUCCCGACGUCCAUGUUUGAAACUCCCUCACUCCUCUCUGUAUGUGCGCACUUCACACACUGAGUUAUUAUUCGGCUCUGAGGCUGGCUGGGGUUUGUGAUGUCAGAAGGUGAAAGGUCAAACAACUAAAGGGCCGGAUGUGAGGGGAUGUGUACAGUGGAUGCGUGUGGAGCUGUGAGUCUUCUGCACUGUGUGUCUGCACAACAAGGACAUGUUCAAGUUUGUCUGUGUAAUGAUACAUUUUGGACAUCAGCACAUGAUGAAACCUGAGGCCCCUCACAGCCACGCAGUGUCCCGUUGUUCAUGCUGAUGAUGUAACCAGGAGAGAUUUUACGUCCAUCGCAGACACAGAAACAAGACGAACGUGUGUAAACAGGAUUACAGAUACCGCAGGGAGCCGUCAGACUUCACCAGCGUUGUUUCACGUGGAAUUCAACUUCAGCUGUUGUGACGUUGCUUCACCGAGAGGAAGUCAGAGUCAGACGAACCCGCUGCACUUCCUCUUGGUCACAUGACUCUCCCAUCCUGCUCGGUCGCCCCCAGCUUCACCAUCAUCUCUCUCUUUCUCUCUCUCUCUCUCUCUCUAUCGAUUACCCCGGCAAGGACAUUAUGCCUGAUGUAUGACAUUACAUGAAGGAGAGAGGGUGGAGGAGGGAGAUUACUGAUUAUCACCUCUAUGUUUGAGGUUCCUUUUGUGCUAAAUAUGUAUCGUGGAUGUUUUUUACAAUCAUUUCAUUAAAAGUCACUGCUGUGGAAGAUUUAAAAUGCCUAAACAAAAACAAAACAAACAAAGAAAUAAAGUGAAAUACAACACACAUUUCCUUUUGAAUGUAUGCAUUUACUGUGUCAUCAUUAAAAGAAAAAAAAAAACAUUUAUGUCCCGCCCCUGAGCUGUGAUUGGACAGAUUGUUUUAUCAUUUUGACAUGGACAACGCGUCCCUCUCACCUCCUCAACUAAUAACAGUGCUGUGUAUUUAGUAUUGGCAGCUCUUCUCCAACAGUAGAUCUAUACAUAAACAGGUGGAUGUGUAAUGUAAUUUCACUUUGUUUGAUUUGUUUUUUAUUUCACCAUUUUAGAUCUUCCAUACAAUCUUUGUACAAUAAACCAUGUGCUGUGUUUUAUUUGUAUGAUUUUGAUUCAUUAGCGUCCCUUUUAAUUUCCAGGUAUUUAAUAAACACAGUAAAACAAACCAAACAAUCUCACCUCAAAGUCCAUUCAGUAGCUGACCUGGAGCUUUCAAUCAUAUCACAUGAUCUUCAUUAUGAGAUGGGAUCGCCCUGGAAUUGCAAAUUUCCAUAUUUUUUUUGAGCACUUUACACAUUUUUCAUCAAUGUCUUUGUUCAAAGUUUAUUCUUUAUCUUGGACUCAGUAAAUGAAACGAUAUCUUUGUACCACUAAAUGCAUCUUCAUAAUCACAUUUUUGUGUGGUAGGUUUUUGUAAUCAGAUUUUUUCACUUUUUUUUUAAACAUAAUUACUGAUUAAUGUCCUAUAUUGCUGUCUGCUGCACAGCACUAAAAUGCAAUAUUCCUCUUUACGUUCUUUCCUGUGUCGUGAUUUGAUUUUAAUGUGGCAUGGAGAACGAGUCAUUCCGCUGUAAAAGAUAAAAAAGGUAAAUAAUUGUUUUUUUUUUUUUAAAUGUUUGUAUUUAAUUAUGACACAGUAAAUGCAUACAUAUAAAUGCAUGCAUAAACAGGUGUAUGUGUAUUGUUUUCAAUUUAUUUCAUUAUUUGACAUCUUAUUUUUGCAUUUUGAAUCUUCCAUACAUUCUAUGUACAAACCAUGUGCUGUGUUUCAUGUUUGUGAUUUUAAUUCAUUUUCAGAAUAGUCUUUUUUUUUUUUUAGUCUCUCCGGUUCAACUUUGGUGAACUUUCCCGCCUUUAACUUUCGCUCUGUUGACCAAUAACAAACCAUCUCGACCGAACCGACCUUUGAGAGGACG
Long non-coding RNA from Thunnus maccoyii (southern bluefin tuna), 2448 nucleotides. RefSeq lists it as uncharacterized. The record is from RefSeq and is a predicted model, not a curated record. Lineage: Eukaryota; Metazoa; Chordata; Actinopteri; Scombriformes; Scombridae. The transcript has 4 exons.